This 1814-nucleotide ribosomal RNA is filed under the name human gut metagenome. RNAcentral's name for it is "bacterial LSU rRNA". It matches the Rfam family "Bacterial large subunit ribosomal RNA", at positions 1100 to 2925 of the family's 2925-position model. The record is from RNAcentral.
GUUGGCUUAGAAGCAGCCACUCAUUUAAAGAGUGCGUAAUAGCUCACUAGUCGAGAGAUCCUGCGCCGAAAAUGUACCGGGGCUAAACUUACCACCGAAGCUACGGAUUUGCAAGUAAUUGCAAGUGGUAGGGGAGCGUCGUAAUCGGGCUGAAGUCGUACCGUAAGGAGCGGUGGACUGAUUACGAGUGAGAAUGUUGGCAUUAGUAGCGAGAUGUAGGUGAGAAUCCUACAGGCCGAAUAUCUAAGGUUUCCUCAGGAAGGCUCGUCCGCUGAGGGUUAGUCGGGACCUAAGCCGAGGCCGAAAGGCGUAGGCGAUGGACAAUCGGUUGAUAUUCCGAUACCACUACCAUCGUUAUUAUCGAGGGUGUGACGGAGAAGGAUAGUGUGUGCUAGCGAUUGGAAAUGCUAGUCUAAGCGUUUAGGGAGUUACGGUAGGCAAAUCCGCUGUAACAAUUCUGAGGCGUGAUGGGGAAGGUCAUUAAGACCGAAGUACAUGAUUCCAUGCUUCCAAGAAAAGCAUCUAGAGAGAGAAGUAGUGCCCGUACCGCAAACCGACACAGGUAGAUGAGGAGAGAAUCCUAAGGCCGGCGGAAGAAUUGCAGUUAAGGAACUAGGCAAAUUGACCCCGUAAGUUCGCGAGAAGGGGUGCCUGCGAGAGCAGGCCGCAGAGAAUAGGCCCAAGCAACUGUUUAGCAAAAACACAGGUCUCUGCUAAAGCGUAAGCUGAUGUAUAGGGGCUGACGCCUGCCCGGUGCUGGAAGGUUAAGGGGAACACUUAGCGCAAGCGAAGGUGUGAACUUAAGCCCCAGUAAACGGCGGCCGUAACUAUAACGGUCCUAAGGUAGCGAAAUUCCUUGUCAGGUAAGUUCUGACCCGCACGAAUGGCGUAAUGACUUGGGCACUGUCUCAACUGCAAAUCCGGCGAAGUUGUAGUGCGAGUGAAGAUGCUCGCUACCCGCGAUUGGACGGAAAGACCCCGUAGAGCUUUACUGUAGCUUAGCAUUGAAUUCCGGUAUUGUCUGUACAGGAUAGGUGGGAGACUGGGAAACUAGGGCGUCAGCCUUAGUGGAGUCAACCUUGGGAUACCACCCUGACAGUACUGGGGUUCUAACAGGACGCCAUGAAGCUGGUGACUGGACAUUGUUAGGUGGGCAGUUUGACUGGGGCGGUCGCCUCCUAAAAAGUAACGGAGGCGCCCAAAGGUUCCCUCAGAACGGUCGGAAAUCGUUCGUAGAGUGCAAAGGCAGAAGGGAGCCUGACUGCGAGACCUACAAGUCGAGCAGGGACGAAAGUCGGGCUUAGUGAUCCGGUGGUACCUCGUGGGAGGGCCAUCGCUCAACGGAUAAAAGCUACCUCGGGGAUAACAGGCUGAUCUCCCCCAAGAGUCCACAUCGACGGGGAGGUUUGGCACCUCGAUGUCGGCUCGUCGCAUCCUGGGGCUGUAGUAGGUCCCAAGGGUUGGGCUGUUCGCCCAUUAAAGCGGCACGCGAGCUGGGUUCAGAACGUCGUGAGACAGUUCGGUCCCUAUCCGUCGCGGGCGUAGGAAAUUUGAGAGGAGCUGUCCUUAGUACGAGAGGACCGGGAUGGACUGACCUCUGGUGCACCAGUUGUUCUGCCAAGAGCAUGGCUGGGUAGCUAAGUCGGGAAGGGAUAAACGCUGAAAGCAUCUAAGCGUGAAGCCCCCCUCAAGAUGAGAUUUCCCAUAGCAUAAGCUAGUAAGACCCCUUGAAGAACACAAGGUUGAUAGGUCAGAGGUGGAAGUGCGGUAACGUAUGUAGCUGACUGAUACUAAUAGGUCGAGGGCUUGACCAA